Macaca mulatta (Rhesus monkey) is the source of this 1109-nucleotide non-coding RNA. Lineage: Eukaryota; Metazoa; Chordata; Mammalia; Primates; Cercopithecidae. The record is from RefSeq and is a predicted model, not a curated record.
CUACAGAGCACGAUCCAGUUUAUCCAUAGGUGGAUGAGAUUGCCCAGCUCACCAUCCCGAGAAGCAACCAUCAGCACCAGAUGAAACUGUCUUGGAAGCCUCAGCCAAGCUGCCAGCUGAAUGCACCUAUGAUCUCCACUAAUGCCCCAGGAAAGAGAAAAACUGCUCAUUGAGCUCAGCCCAAAUUCCUGAUUCAGAGACUCACAGGAAGUUGCAGCAGUUGGUUUCAGGCUGAAAUCUCUGAAGAUCAGUGAGGAGGGAAACAGAAGGGCCUGAAUGUGCGUGUGCACGUGCGUGCACACACACACACACACACACACACACGAUCAUCAGGUCUUACUCAUUGUGGAGGAAACACAAACAACCUCGAGAAAGGCCCUGAGAUUUAAGAUGGGACACAUCUGGAGGGGAAGGUCAAGAGAAGACAUGACACCCAAGUUGGGGAAAUACCAGUCUCUGAGCAUCAUUUUAUUAUUAAAAAGUUUUUUUAGUGACAGCCCUCUACAACAGCAAUAGCUUCUGAGAUUCAAGCUAUUGAAAUUCACCUAGACAGGUCCAGAUGUUCCGAAGCGCUUUCAGAAGGAAAGGGCCUGCUGUGGGGUUUAGAGACGCUACUGAUGAGAUUAACAUGCCUCCAGAGAUGUGAGAAGGAGCAGGCAUCAUCUUGUUAACGUCUUGUGGCUGGAUUGUCACUCAUGGUGAGAACUGGAUGAUAUGGAGAAUAAGGAGUGUUGUCACGGUAACAGAAAAAAGGAGGUCACCAGGGAACCCGGAGAAGGAAGCCUCUGUCCAGCACACCAAGGAACUCCAAUUUGAGUGGGAAAUUGUUCCUGCCCAGGGCAAAAUAUCCAACUGGAUGAAGAUCUCAACUCUUUGCAUUCUAAUCUUCCAUUCUCCAACCAAAACUUAUAAGGAAAGGCAUGUCCUGGCCAGUGGGCCAAGUAUUCCCCUCUCCACUGCAAGCACAUCAGCGCGAACUUACCAAGGGUCCUCAAUUGCAUUUAGCUGUCAUCUCUCCUCAGUCUGCUCUGGUCUGUAAGUUUCUCAGUCUUUCCUUGUUAUUUAUGACUUUGGCAGUCUUGAGAAAUAUUAACCAAAUAUCCUGUAAA